AAUUUAAUUGGGUAAAGGGAAAAUUUAUGCAUACAGUUUUGUGUGUUUUUUUUUUACCCUCAGACAUGAACAAGUGCCCUCAGUGGUAUAGAAGAAAUGGAAAUGGAAACUCUGCUCACCUGGCAUUAAAUUUAGGUGUUUCUCAGCAUCUUUGGCAUUUGGAGCAAAAAGCUCCUGAAAAAGUGGAGGUCCAAAUCAUUCUCCGGAUAGGGGUGACCAUGGUCUGUAUCAUGUGUCACCUUUCUGCUGCUGCUCCUCCCACCCCAAGUCUUCACUGAGAGCUGCCUGAACUGGGGUGAGCACUUGACCAGUCCCUAGGCUUGCCCAUGAGGUGAUGUGACACAUGAAAAC
RNAcentral lists this long non-coding RNA (351 nucleotides) under Mustela putorius furo (domestic ferret). RNAcentral describes it as "lncRNA (ENSMPUG00000026631.1)". Lineage: Eukaryota; Metazoa; Chordata; Mammalia; Carnivora; Mustelidae. The record is from RNAcentral.